Molecule: small nuclear RNA, 120 nt
Filed under: Canis lupus dingo (dingo)
Lineage: Eukaryota; Metazoa; Chordata; Mammalia; Carnivora; Canidae
Description: U4 spliceosomal RNA (ENSCAFG00020005181.1)
Rfam family: U4 spliceosomal RNA (bases 1-69)
About the family: U4 small nuclear RNA (U4 snRNA) is a component of the major U2-dependent spliceosome. The structure of U4 snRNA from yeast and human has been reported.
Source: RNAcentral
AGCUUUGUGCAGUGACAGUAUCGUAGCCAAUGAGGUUUAUCUGAGGCACGAUUAUUGCUAAUUAAAAUUGGCCGCAGCCAGUGUCCACAAUAGCCAAAUUAUGGAAAGAGCCUAGAUGUC